RNAcentral lists this transfer RNA (90 nucleotides) under Gammaproteobacteria bacterium. Its description in RNAcentral is "tRNA-Ser". It matches the Rfam family "tRNA". From Rfam's summary of the family: Transfer RNA (tRNA) molecules are approximately 80 nucleotides in length. Their secondary structure includes four short double-helical elements and three loops (D, anti-codon, and T loops). Further hydrogen bonds mediate the characteristic L-shaped molecular structure. tRNAs have two regions of fundamental functional importance: the anti-codon, which is responsible for specific mRNA codon recognition, and the 3' end, to which the tRNAs corresponding amino acid is attached (by aminoacyl-tRNA synthetases). tRNAs cope with the degeneracy of the genetic code in two manners: having more than one tRNA (with a specific anti-codon) for a particular amino acid; and 'wobble' base-pairing, i.e. permitting non-standard base-pairing at the 3rd anti-codon position. Lineage: Bacteria; Pseudomonadati; Pseudomonadota; Gammaproteobacteria. The record is from RNAcentral.
GGAGAGAUGCCGGAGCGGUUGAACGGCCCUGACUCGAAAUCAGUGGGGGCAGCAAUGCCCACUAGGGUUCGAACCCCUAUCUCUCCGCCA